GGGGACAUGGAAGCUGUGUUCAGGCCGGUCCACGCUGGGUGACCCAUGUGACCUGCUGCUUAGCAAUUCCUUGUCACCAUCUUCCCUUCUCAGCCUCUUUUUUCAUGCUAACAGGCAUAAAUGAAAUGAUGAUAAAAGUUUGAGCUCUUCUCGUGGAAUUCUUGUGAUACAGAUAUGUGCUACACGUUCAUCAUCUCGUUGGUCUUCACCAUGAUAACUGUGGAGUAAGAAUUAUAAGCAGGUCACAGAUUAGGGACUUGAGAUUGACAGUUUGGCUUCCCUGUUCUGGGUGGCAAAGCCUGUGGAGUACUCACCUACCUGCUGCAUGAAGGCAGCAUGGAGGGACUGUGGUGGAUUAUCUGCAAAGAUGGCCAAAAUUCUCUCAUCCCUGCAGGCACAUACAAGAAAGCCUGAAUUUUGUAAAAGUUCUGCUUAGAAUGAGGAAGAAAGAUGAAGAAUGAGGAGGAAGAAGGGAGGAACAAGAGAGAGAGGUAAAGACAACAAACAGAACAGACCUACAUUUGCAGCAUCUCCAAGUUUCUGCAACAGC
RNAcentral lists this long non-coding RNA (550 nucleotides) under Pan troglodytes (chimpanzee). Its description in RNAcentral is "lincRNA". The record is from RNAcentral. Lineage: Eukaryota; Metazoa; Chordata; Mammalia; Primates; Hominidae.